Long non-coding RNA from Diceros bicornis minor, 1385 nucleotides. RefSeq lists it as uncharacterized. The transcript has 3 exons. Lineage: Eukaryota; Metazoa; Chordata; Mammalia; Perissodactyla; Rhinocerotidae. The record is from RefSeq and is a predicted model, not a curated record.
GUAAGGCUGAGCUAGUGUGUGUCCAGCAUGGAAGGAUGUGUGCUUCACACUCUCCCUUGGGACCACUCACACUGCUGCCUCACUGAUGGUCUAGGACUGUACAGUCAUCAGGGACCCGGUUUCCACCUUCUUCGUUGUAACUUCUAUCUUCAAGUUCAUCUUAUGAUCCAAGACGGCGACUGGAGCUUUAGCCUUCACGAACUCAUUCCCAGCAGCAGGAAGGAAGAAUGGUGGAAGGAUGAAAAGUGUGCACCUCCCAUUACAUUCCAUGAGCCAGAACUUAGUUACGUGGUCUCACCUAGUAGCAAAGGAAGCUAGGAAUAUCUUUCCUUUGGCUGGGUACAUUGAUGACCUGAAUAACAUGAGUUAUUUUACUAAAGAAGAAGAGGACAGUGGAUAUUGAGUGACUAUUAACAGUCUCUGCUUUAGUCUCCUCACCACAGCUCAGUGCCCAGCUCUCAACAGCAGUGGCUCUGAACUUUCAAUAUGGUACCCGAUCCAGAGAGGACCAGCCUGCCAUCUGGUGGCAAGUUGGCCACACUGGAUUCCUUUCAUUAUAGAGGCAGCUCAGGUUUGCCUUCACUGGAAUAGACAUUUAUUCUGCCCAUGGGUUUGCAUUCUCUGCCAGUUAUGCUUCUGCCAGCAACAUCAUUAGUGGAUUUACUGAAUGUCUUCUUCACAAACAUGGUAGUCCAAAUAGCAUUACUUCUGACCAGAGACCUCAUUUUUCAGCAAAAGAAGUAAAGAAAUUGGCAGCUUUUGUACAGAGGACAGACAUUGGUCUGGGUGUCAGAAGACCUAAAUUACAGCCUCAGAUUUUCCAGUAGCAAGCUGUGUGACCUUGGACAAAUCUCCUUUCUCAUCUGUAAACCAGGGGGUUGGACCACAAGUUCUAAGGCCCCUUCCGGCAGAGACACCCCAGCACCAGGAAUUCCUGUCAACUCCUCUUGAUCCUAUUGAUUUUCAGCCCACAUAUGGAUCUGCUCAGCACACAUCUGCUCCUUCCUCCAGGAGGCGUGGUCUGGAGAUCUGCAUACAGCAGGCAUUUAUUAGAUGCUCUUAAAAACAGGAGACAACCUAAGCAUACAUUCACAGGGGAUGGUUGAAUACAUUGUGCAGCUAUUAAAAGAAGAAUGAGCUAGCCUUCAGUCCACUGAGCUGGAGGGAAGUGCAUGAUUCAAGUGAGAAAAAAGCUCAUUACAGAAUGUGUUAGAGAAUGACUCCUUUUUUGUGAAAACCAGACGACAAAAUCUCUAUAUGUACGUGGGCGGGCUUGUUUAUGUUCACAGGAAGGAGGAAGGCGGGAGAGAGUACACCGCAGUCUGUGACAUUAGCUAUCUAGGAGCGUGUGUGUGCUGAGGACGCGGGGAUGGGGGAACAGAGAA